RNAcentral lists this ribosomal RNA (649 nucleotides) under uncultured marine bacterium. RNAcentral describes it as "bacterial SSU rRNA". It matches the Rfam family "Bacterial small subunit ribosomal RNA", at positions 232 to 885 of the family's 1533-position model. The record is from RNAcentral.
CGCGGCCUAUCAGCUUGUUGGUGGGGUGAUGGCCUACCAAGGCGGUGACGGGUAGCCGGCCUGAGAGGGUGACCGGCCACACUGGGACUGAGAUACGGCCCAGACUCCUACGGGAGGCAGCAGUGGGGAAUAUUGCACAAUGGGCGGAAGCCUGAUGCAGCGACGCCGCGUGAGGGAUGACGGCCUUCGGGUUGUAAACCUCUUUCGGUGGGGAAGAAGGCCUUUCGGGGUUGACGGUACCUGCAGAAGAAGCGCCGGCUAACUACGUGCCAGCAGCCGCGGUAAUACGUAGGGCGCAAGCGUUGUCCGGAAUUAUUGGGCGUAAAGAGCUCGUAGGCGGCCUGUCGCGUCUGCUGUGAAAGCCCGGGGCUCAACCCCGGGUCUGCAGUGGGUACGGGCGGGCUGGAGUGCGGUAGGGGAGACUGGAAUUCCUGGUGUAGCGGUGGAAUGCGCAGAUAUCAGGAGGAACACCGGUGGCGAAGGCGGGUCUCUGGGCCGUUACUGACGCUGAGGAGCGAAAGCAUGGGGAGCGAACAGGAUUAGAUACCCUGGUAGUCCAUGCCGUAAACGUUGGGCACUAGGUGUGGGGCCCAUUCCACGGGUUCCGUGCCGUAGCUAACGCAUUAAGUGCCCCGCCUGGGGAGUACGG